GGAAUUAGAUUUGUGCCAAAAAUAAUUAAACAAAAAUAAAUAAAUUGCAAACAAAAAAUAAAAAUUUGAGAGAUAUAAUCUUACUCAAGCAAAAAAAUAAUACUUGCAAUCAAAAUAUUUGUGUGACUGUGUAAAUAUUUAGCCUUUUACUUUUCCAAUCAUCACUUCUUUUGUUUACAGUUCUGUCUUUUUUCCCUCACUGAUCAGAAUUUUGUUUUCAAUGCCAGCUUUCUCAUUUGCGCUGCCUGACAUUUUGCUUGCGAUUUUUGGCACAAACCUCUCGGGUGGGCGGGCCUUGUGAGGAAUGCGUACUCAUUGGCUGAAUAGUUUUUGAGUGACACCCCGUGCCCCGGAUGUUGUUCUGUACAGCGGGGGAAUUCGGAUGUAUGGGAUGUACUGUGGUAAGCUACUUUAACGUAAAGAAGUCGUAUGGAGCUUCUUCUCCAAGAUUGCAGCACUGAUGGUGACCAAGAUGAUAGGGUGGUGGUGUCAGACAUCCCUUGCCCCCUGUCUGACCAUAACUUUGGUAUCCUUCAGGGACUAAUAGAUCCCAUCACAUCAACUCUGUGUGAUCAGGAUCUCUAUAUUCAGACACUUGAGCUUGUGAGGAAACUGAGCGAAGUCUAAAAUUCAACAACUGAAAUGUUGAACUAUCUGCCAUUCAGAAGAAGCUUGCUGAAAUGCUUCUAUGUGGAAUGAAAUGUACACACAUCUAAUAUUUACCCGUGUGAAGAAAUGUUGUGUUUACAUUUAUAUGUAAUUAAUAAUAAAAUGUUUCGUCCUGAAUUUUUCUGGGUCACCCAGCAAAGACUUAGUCUACACAAAAAAAAAAAAAAAAAAAAAAAGAGAUUCUGCUUACAGUUCUGGUCAACUAUAAAGCCCAGCUCUUUCAUUAAUUCUCUAUUAAGUUCAUUGCAAAGUACAUUUUAGACCUUUAAAAUAUUAUAUUUUGUAGGAACUUACUGGUUUGCAUGAUUCCAAAUUGUUUCAAGUACUGUCAACUUUCAAUAUUUUAUUUGGAAGUAAAUUGUUGUUCGUUCAGUACCUUAUUUUGUAUGCAAAGUGAUGAAACUGCAAUAGCAAGUCCAUAUAUUGUGUUUUGUGUUGAAAUUGACUAAAUACUCUAUCCAGCUACACAUGAACCUGUAGGGUACUGCUGAAAAUAGACUUGGAAUUAAAGACAAUUCAUGAAUUGCACAUUUUUUUAUUUUGCUAUUAAAUAUAUUAAACACA
Long non-coding RNA from Acanthochromis polyacanthus (spiny chromis), 1233 nucleotides. RefSeq lists it as uncharacterized. The transcript is spliced from 2 exons. NCBI's taxonomy places the organism in Eukaryota, Metazoa, Chordata, Actinopteri, Pomacentridae. The record is from RefSeq and is a predicted model, not a curated record.